GGACCAAUUCGGUUGUCAGGGGGGACCUUGGAGGGCAGAGGACCAGCCUGGGAGCUCAGCAGGCUCCCCUGGCCCGAGUGGUCGGGGCAAUCAACCUCUCCACGCCUCUCCUGAUCUCCCCAGCUUCAGGGGUGCCCAUCCUGUCUGGCCUCCACUUCUCCUUCCCCCGCAGUCCCCCUUCAUCCUACCAGUUCACUUUGGGGUUCCUCGCGUCUUCUUGGGCAUCAGAGUCCCCCACCAGCGGUUGGCAGGUGCCCUAGUUGUGGGGAGACGCUAACUCUUCGUCUUCCCACACAGUCAUCUUGACUCCGCCUCUCUAAACAAACUCUUACAUAGAGUCCUUUAUAGUCUUAUAUAUAAUGUAUAUAUGAAUGACAAAAGUAGUAUUUGAUUAGGAUAAUGUUACUGUACAAAUUCAAUUUUAUGACGUUAACUUAUGAAAGCAAUCCGAAGAGUGAGGCUGCUCCUCCAACAUUUGGAAUCAGGUUAGGGUUGGUCAUUGCUCCCUUAUUUUAGCCAAGUAUUCAGAUGUUUCUGUUAUUAAUAUUUGUAGAAAGUUCAAAUAUGUGCACAGACAUAGAAAAAUAAAUUUUAUUAUGAGUUUAUGUACAACUGAGUUAACCUGGUAACACAAGUUAUUGUGUUAGAUGGUCUCUUUUGAAUUUAGAUUUAUAAAACAGUUGUUAAAAUAUUUUAUAAAACCACAGCAAUCAAUACUGUAUGGCAUUGCUCAGGAAAAUAAACAGAUCACUGGAAUAGACUAGGUGGCCUAGAAAUAGAUCAAGAUAUUUGGGACAAAGAUGAUAUUUCAGUUGGGUGAGAAAACAGGAUUGAUUUAAUAAAUGGUACUAGCAGUCUCAACACAUGCAAAAGUAAGUUCCAGAUGAAUUAAUGAUUUAACUAUAAAAGAUAGAAAUUAGACGUUUUAUAGAAUAUGUUAACUAAGGCUUGGGAAGCAGCAACACCACAGCUAUAACGUAAAACAAAUAUAUUUGAAAUGUAAGAAUUAAAAAAUUAUAUGUGGGAAAAAAUGGGUCAUAAACAAAGAUAAAAGACAAAUGCUAGGUUGAUGUAUAAGUUAGUACUUAGUCUGGAAACAAAUUGCUUUAAGUAUUUCAAGUAGGAAGAGGUUUUAUACAAGAAAUGAGAUGUUCACUAAACUCUCAGAAAGACUGAGGGAACAAGUCAGGAGAAAUCGUUGCUGGCUUUUAGAAAAUCCGGUAAUGCAGGAACUUCAGGGAAAGCCCCUGCCAGUAAUCUCUGCAGAAUGCAGGAUGUCACCUGGAAGCAGCUACAGGCCAUUUCUGCCAAGUGUCAACAUGUUAGAAUGAAAUAAAGGCUGCUUGCUUUCUUCACCUUUUCUAGUUUCAGUGAGAGUGCCUCUCAUUGGUGGAAGUUAAACCAGGACCCUGUUGACACAGGAAUCUGGUCAGUGGAGUUUCUAGUCUUUUAGUACCUUUGGGAGAUUUAGAAAAGCAAGAAAGGUGCUGAAUAUUCCUACUCUGCUGACAGAAAUAGGAGUUGUCAUGGCCUUUUUUGUGAAGUGAUAGACAUACACACAUUAUAUAGAAUUUCACAGCCCAGAAAUUUCAGUCCAGAAAUAUAUCCUUUGGAGUAAAGCCACCCAUACGGUAAGGCCCCUACAUACGAACCUUCAAGCUGUGAACUUUCAGAGAUGCGAACAUGCAUUCGCGUGUCCAGUCACGUAAGUCAGUUCAUGUGUCUGGUGUACGUUGUCACAUGCGUACAUCCUCUGCAAGUGUGCUUUUGUGUACUUUACAGUACUGUAUAGAGUACAGUAGUACAGUAUCUUGAUUUCAAGCCCAGGAUGUCAUCUAUGACGAGAAAAAAAGUAGCUACUACCCAGACAUCACUGGAUCAUUUUUUCAAGAGGGUGGAUAGAAUUGAAUCCAGCAAGGAGCCAGAACCUGUGCCAUCAGUGUCAGGUGUGAGUGAAAUUGCAGCUUGCUCUCCGUCUCCUGCUGCUGACGAUCCUUCAGCUCUGCCACCUCCCACCUCCUCUUCCUCCUCCACUCAGUAACUCUUACUGCCUGUUCCCUCGAUGCUAGCCCCUGUAUGCCCACUGUUGUACUGUACUACUGUAUUUUUCAAGGUACUGCGCUGUAAGAUUAAAAAUGUUUUAUUUUUUGUGUUUUAUGUUAUUUGUGUGAAAAGUAUUAUAAACCUAUUAUAGUACAGUACUAUAUAGCCGACUGUGUUACUUGGGUACCUAGGCUAACUUUGUUGGACUUACAAACAAAUUGGACUUAAUGAAUGCGCUCUUGGAACGGAACUCGUUCAUAUGUAGGGACUUACUGUGUAUAAAAAUAUUUGCAAAAUUGACUAAAUGUUCAUCCAGUUCCUGUUAGGGCACACAGGAAGACUGCAUUUCCCAGCCUCCCUUGCAAUUAGGUUGGGACCUCAUGAUUGGGUUGUAGCCAGUGGAAUCUGGGCAGAAGUGUCCUAACAUACAUCCAGUCUUUGUCAUAAACCUUUCCUUGUCUUCCAAGCUCUCUCCCGUGUUGACUGCUGGAAACGAAGAAAUCUGAGAUAGGGAAACCAUAAGAUGGAGCCCCAGAAUCACGAUUGGAGGCAAACUCAUAGUAACAGCCUGACUUGCACCAGACAGUGAUGUGAGCUAGAAACAAACUCUUGUGGUAAGCUGGUGAGAUUUUUAGAGUGUUCAUUAACAACAGCAAGUGAGCAUAAACUUGAAUAGCACAAGAUAUUUGUAUGAAGAUUUUUAUUGUAGCAUUUCCCCAAGCGGUGAAAAGUAAAAUAAAGGGAGCAGUGACUGUCAAUAAAGAAAUGGUUGAAUAAAUUCAUCAUAUCUAUGUUACAGCAUAUCAUAUACCUGCCGUUAUCAAUAUGUAUUAACAAUACAUUUGCUAUUAUCAACACAUAUUGUUGUUUCAUAAAACUGGAAAAUGCACUCAAUAUAUAUUUGAAUUCUUAAUGGAAAAUUAAGGAAAGAUGUUUACCAUGUUGUAAGCAUUGAUGGAGAGGGUAUCUGGAGAGGGAGAGGAAGAGCAGUUAAAAAAAUUUUUUUCAAAUCCAUAAUGCAUUAUAAGAAAAUAUGUAUCAUUGUUUUUAAGAAAUACUUGAUAAAAAUGUUUGCUUUU
Long non-coding RNA from Phocoena sinus (vaquita), 3122 nucleotides. The record is from Ensembl. Lineage: Eukaryota; Metazoa; Chordata; Mammalia; Artiodactyla; Phocoenidae.